Molecule: ribosomal RNA, 253 nt
Filed under: uncultured bacterium
Lineage: Bacteria
Description: partial 16S ribosomal RNA
Rfam family: Bacterial small subunit ribosomal RNA
Source: RNAcentral
UACGUAGGGUGCGAGCGUUGUCCGGAAUUACUGGGCGGAAAGAGCUCGUAGGUGGUUUGUCGCGUUGUUCGUGAAAACUCACAGCUUAACUGUGGGCGUGCGGGCGAUACGGGCAGACUGGAGUACUGCAGGGGAGACUGGAAUUCCUGGUGUAGCGGUGGAAUGCGCAGAUAUCAGGAGGAACACCGGUGGCGAAGGCGGGUCUCUGGGCAGUAACUGACGCUGAGGAGCGAAAGCGUGGGGAGCGAACAGG